CGCGUCGGCGGACCUCUGCCUCCCCAACCAGCUGAGCGAGCCUCCCUUUGGUUUUUUCUGUGAAGUGAUUAUGUGGAGCUUGUGAGGAAAAAAGAUAGGACAAGAAGCCUAGGAGGUUGUCUACAGCCACUGCCCUGUGAGUGCUGCUGAACAUGUAAGUAUAGUCGGGAGAGUCAUGUACUCGCUCGAUGCCAUAGCUCACCCACCCCGAGUUGUGCCACCCUCUUCUAGCCGGAGGUGCCGCCGUCGCCGCUGUCGAGGACAUCUUAA
Long non-coding RNA from Triticum dicoccoides, 270 nucleotides. RefSeq lists it as uncharacterized. The transcript is spliced from 3 exons. NCBI's taxonomy places the organism in Eukaryota, Viridiplantae, Streptophyta, Magnoliopsida, Poales, Poaceae. The record is from RefSeq and is a predicted model, not a curated record.